CUGACAGUACUAACGCUAACACCGUGAGAUAAUCCUCCGGCCUAGGACUCGUGGGUACAAUUGCAUUGCUAGCGUCAGUACUGUCAGCCCCCGAUUCUCCACUCUUCAACUCCACCUCUACCACCUCGGCAGUCCCAUCGCUGGAAGAACCCGAGCAAAAAAAGGCCCUUUGAUAAUAGGUACGGUUUCCGGAUGUCCUACGAGUCAAUCCAGUGAUGGAACCGAGCGCUUUGAGCAACGAAUUUGUGGACGACUGGGUCGUCACUCGGAGGCACGGAGAGGCU
Molecule: unclassified non-coding RNA, 284 nt
Filed under: Hevea brasiliensis (rubber tree)
Lineage: Eukaryota; Viridiplantae; Streptophyta; Magnoliopsida; Malpighiales; Euphorbiaceae
Source: RNAcentral